GUAUAGAAGCUGUAUUUUAGUUUAUUUAUAUGCCACAGGCUGUAUAGUGAGGCUGUACAAGGACUGUAUAAGCGCUUAUACAUCCUCUAUUCAACGUGCCGACACAUUUUUACUGUGAAAUAGUGCAUUGUUUUGUGGAAAAAUAUUCACGCGCCCGCGAAAUACUGAAGAAUUCAAGAGGAAUAUUACCAAAACAAGCAUUCAGUCAACCAGAAAAGCCGUCAAUUUCAUCUACAGCAACGUGAGCAACAACAUCUACACCAGUAGUUCCAAAAUCUGCAGCACAAUACGUCAUUUAAUAUGUGGAUGAAUCUGAUGUGGCAGCAACGGUUCCACAGUAAAACACUGAUGUAAAUCAGAUGGAAAAUUAUCUAAAAUUGAUUUUAGACAGUCAAAUUAAUAACCCACAAACAAUAAAUGCUCUAAUGGACAGCCAAAAAAAAUGUUUCAUAAAUUGGCAAGUCUACUGUGCAGAUAGAAUACGAAUUUUCCAAGUGUGACAAUACCAAAAACACAGAUGUGGUCGCAUUGGGUAAAACCAGCAAUCCAAUCGAAAAUGAAGCUUUUGUCAUAAAACCAAUUGAUUCAGUUAAUUAUGUAACUGUUUUUCUUGUGUAUCUAGUAAAUAAGUAACUCUUUGAUUAUUUUUAGUUACUUAAGAUAUCCACUGAUGGAUAUUUCUAUUAUGUUUGAAGUGCCAUUGAA
Long non-coding RNA from Ostrinia nubilalis (European corn borer), 705 nucleotides. RefSeq lists it as uncharacterized. The transcript is spliced from 3 exons. NCBI's taxonomy places the organism in Eukaryota, Metazoa, Arthropoda, Insecta, Lepidoptera, Crambidae. The record is from RefSeq and is a predicted model, not a curated record.